RNAcentral lists this ribosomal RNA (430 nucleotides) under Acidobacteriota bacterium. RNAcentral describes it as "Acidobacteria bacterium partial 16S ribosomal RNA". It matches the Rfam family "Bacterial small subunit ribosomal RNA", at positions 355 to 776 of the family's 1533-position model. Lineage: Bacteria; Pseudomonadati; Acidobacteriota. The record is from RNAcentral.
UGGGGAAUAUUGUACAAUGGGCGCAAGCCUGAUCCAGCCAUGCCGCGUGUGUGAAGAAGGCCUUUUGGUUGUAAAGCACUUUAAUCGAGGAGGAGGCUACUUGGAUUAAUACUCUAGGAUAGUGGACGUUACUCGCAGAAUAAGCACCGGCUAACUCUGUGCCAGCAGCCGCGGUAAUACAGAGGGUGCGAGCGUUAAUCGGAUUUACUGGGCGUAAAGCGUGCGUAGGCGGCUUUUUAAGUCGGAUGUGAAAUCCCUGAGCUUAACUUAGGAAUUGCAUUAGAUACAGGGAAGCUAGAGUAUGGGAGAGGAUGGUAGAAUUCCAGGUGUAGCGGUGAAAUGCGUAGAGAUCUGGAGGAAUACCGAUGGCGAAGGCAGCCAUCUGGCCUAAUACUGACGCUGAGGUACGAAAGCAUGGGGAGAAAACAGG